RNAcentral lists this transfer RNA (105 nucleotides) under Natronomonas pharaonis DSM 2160. Its description in RNAcentral is "tRNA-Pro (TGG) (tRNA-Pro-TGG-2-1)". It matches the Rfam family "tRNA". From Rfam's summary of the family: Transfer RNA (tRNA) molecules are approximately 80 nucleotides in length. Their secondary structure includes four short double-helical elements and three loops (D, anti-codon, and T loops). Lineage: Archaea; Methanobacteriati; Methanobacteriota; Halobacteria; Halobacteriales; Natronomonadaceae. The record is from RNAcentral.
GGGCACGUAGUUCAGUCCGGCAGAGCGCUCGGGCAGGCCGGCGCCCCGCGGCCUUUGGGGGGCCGACCUCUUGGGAGGCCCUGGGUUCAAAUCCCAGCGUGCCCA